UAAAUUGUGAUUAUUUUGAGUUAGUAAAAAGUAGAAGCAACACUUAUUUUUUUUAUAUUUGAGCUAAAGAUAUUUUAAUGAACACCUUAUUAAAAAUUCACAUAACUUUUUUUUUGAUAUCCUGCAGUGUGAAAAAAAAAGAUUUAAGGGAUAUAUCCUACACACACACACAAGCGUUAAUCCUGUGCAUAUUCUUAAAUAUAACGAACAACAUUACACAAUCGAACUGUCUAACGAAUUAAUACAGUAAUUCGAUUAUUAUUUGAAGCGUAAGAAUUGAUUAAUUCGUUAUAAAAUUUGAUAAUAUAUUUUUAAAGCACGAUAUAGUGAUUUAGAAGUGUAUUGAUGAAUUAUUGUGACUUUUAUUUGUCCAGUAAAACGGCUAAUCCGGCAAGACACUGCCGAGAAUCGAGAUUCACCCCCUGUAUGUUUACUGUGUCACGAUUGGAAAUAGUUAAAUUAUAUCUAAUACAAUUGAGUCUCUGUAGUCCAACACCCUGCGAACCGUCGCGCCGCCCACGUGAGAUUUUCAUGUCACCUUGUCCAUGUGCGAGAGAGAAACCGAUGUAAACAAAUUGUAUGUCGCUAUUCGUUCGUUACGCAGACUUUAUAGUUGGAUUAAUUUUUAAAUUCAGUACACUGUUUGCUAUAAAACUGUUUUUACUGUAUCAGAGUUUAUCUUUACAUAAUAUCACAUAUCGGAAAAAGUAAAAAACGAAAACACAAGACAUUGUGAUCAAAAAGGCAGAAAUAUUCAAGAAAUUUGACUUGGGAGAAAAGUUUAGUGAUUUCACUUCGUUUUAUGGAC
This 808-nucleotide long non-coding RNA is filed under the name Androctonus crassicauda. The record is from RNAcentral. Lineage: Eukaryota; Metazoa; Arthropoda; Arachnida; Scorpiones; Buthidae.